AAGCAUAUCAAUAAGCGGAGGAAAAGAAACCAACUGGGAUUGCCUUAGUAACGGCGAGUGAAGCGGCAAUAGCUCAAAUUUGAAAGCUGGCUCCUUCGGAGUCCGCGUUGUAAUUUGUAGAGGAUGCUUCGGCAAGGGCUCCCGUCUAAGUCCCCUGGAACGGGGCGUCACAGAGGGUGAGAAUCCCGUAUGUGAUGGGUUGCCUAAGCCAUGUGAAGCUCCUUCGACGAGUCGAGUUGUUUGGGAAUGCAGCUCUAAAUGGGAGGUAAAUUUCUUCUAAAGCUAAAUACCGGCCAGAGACCGAUAGCGCACAAGUAGAGUGAUCGAAAGAUGAAAAGCACUUUGGAAAGAGAGUUAAAAAGUACGUGAAAUUGUUGAAAGGGAAGCGCUUGCAGCCAGACUUGUCCGCAGUUGCUCAGCCGGUCUCUUGACCGGCGUACUCUUCUGCGGCCAGGCCAGCAUCAGUUCGGGCGGUCGGAUAAAGGUCCUGGGAAUGUAGCUCCCCUCGGGGAGUGUUAUAGCCCAGGGCGCAAUGCGGCCAGCCUGGACUGAGGAUCUCGCUUCGGCUAGGAUGCUGGCGUAAUGGCUGUAAGCGGCCCGUCUUGAAACACGGACCAAGGAGUCUAACAUCUAUGCGAGUGUUUGGGUGUCAAACCCAUGCGCGUAAUGAAAGUGAACGGAGGUGGGAACCCUCACGGGUGCACCAUCGACCGAUCCUGAUGUCUUCGGAUGGAUUUGAGUAAGAGCAUAGCUGUUGGGACCCGAAAGAUGGUGAACUAUGCCUGAAUAGGGUGAAGCCAGAGGAAACUCU
This 811-nucleotide ribosomal RNA is filed under the name Endomelanconiopsis endophytica. RNAcentral's name for it is "eukaryotic LSU rRNA". It matches the Rfam family "Eukaryotic large subunit ribosomal RNA", at positions 36 to 865 of the family's 3401-position model. Lineage: Eukaryota; Fungi; Ascomycota; Dothideomycetes; Botryosphaeriales; Botryosphaeriaceae. The record is from RNAcentral.